AAAUUGCGUGCGCGCGAGUCUUGGGUGUAAACCUAAAGGCGCAAUGAAAGUGUCAGGGGGGCCUCCUUUAGGAGCGUCUCCCGCGGGGAGGAUGGGCUUCCGUACAAUUACUUGUCGGAGCCCCGCACUCCCGGGGCGUCUCGUUCUCGUUACGAGUGGAGACGCACCAGGAGCGCACACGCUGGUACCCGAAAGAUGGUGAACUAUGCCUGGCCAGGACGAAGCCAGGGGAAACCCUGGUGGAGGUCCGAAGCGAUUCUGACGUGCAAAUCGAUCGUCUGAGCUGGGUAUAGGGGCGAAAGACCAAUCGAACUAUCUAGUAGCUGGUUCCUUCCGAA
This 338-nucleotide ribosomal RNA is filed under the name Galgupha australis. Its description in RNAcentral is "eukaryotic LSU rRNA". It matches the Rfam family "Eukaryotic large subunit ribosomal RNA", at positions 675 to 965 of the family's 3401-position model. Lineage: Eukaryota; Metazoa; Arthropoda; Insecta; Hemiptera; Thyreocoridae. The record is from RNAcentral.